Molecule: ribosomal RNA, 614 nt
Filed under: uncultured archaeon
Lineage: Archaea
Description: bacterial SSU rRNA
Rfam family: Archaeal small subunit ribosomal RNA
Source: RNAcentral
AUACCGGAUAGAGCAUUGAUAGCUGGAAUGCACGAUGCUCGAAAGCUGAGGCGCCAAAGGGUAGGUCUGCGGCCGAUUAGGUUGUUGUUGAUGUAAUGGAUCAACAAGCCUCCGAUCGGUAUGGGUUGUGAGAGCAAUAUCCCAGAGAUGGGUUCUGAGAGAAGAACCCAGGUCCUACGGGACGCAUCAGGCGCGAAAACUUUACAAUGUGCGAAAGCACGAUAAGGGAACUCUGAGUGCCUCCAAAGGAGGCUGUUCAGGUGUCUAAAAAGCAUCUGAAGUAAGGGCUGGGCAAGACCGGUGCCAGCCGCCGCGGUAACACCGGCAGCCCAAGUGGUGGCCACUUUUACUGGGUCUAAAGCGUUCGUAGCCGGCCAUGUAAGUUCCUUGGGAAAUUUGACCGCUUAACGGUUAAGCUUCCAGGGAAUACUGCUUGGCUUGGGACCGGGAGAGGUCAGAGGUACCUCAAGGGUAGGGGUGAAAUCCGUUAAUCCUUGGGGGACCGCCAGUAGCGAAGGCGUCUGACCAGACCGGAUCCGACGGUGAGGGACGAAGGCUAGGGUAGCGAACCGGAUUAGAUACCCGGGUAGUCCUAGCUGUAAACGAUGCGGGCU